GACGAACGCUGGCGGCGUGCCUAAUACAUGCGAGUAGAACGCACAGUUUAUACCGUAGCUUGCUACACCAUAAACUGUGAGUUGCGAACGGGUGAGUAACGCGUAGGUAACCUGCCUGGUAGCGGGGGAUAACUAUUGGGAACGAUAGCUAAUACCGCAUAAUAUUGAUUAUUGCAUGAUAAUUGAUUGAAAGAUGCUAUUGCAUCACUACCAGAUGGACCUGCGUUGUAUUAGCUAGUAGGUGAGGUAACGGCUCACCUAGGCGACGAUACAUAGCCGACCUGAGAGGGUGAUCGGCCACACUGGGACUGAGACACGGCCCAGACUCCUACGGGAGGCAGCAGUAGGGAAUCUUCGGCAAUGGACGAAAGUCUGACCGAGCAACGCCGCGUGAGUGAAGAAGGUUUUCGGAUCGUAAAGCUCUGUUGUAAGAGAAGAACGGGUGUGAGAGUGGAAAGUUCACACUGUGACGGUAUCUUACCAGAAAGGGACGGCUAACUACGUG
This 505-nucleotide ribosomal RNA is filed under the name uncultured bacterium. RNAcentral describes it as "partial 16S ribosomal RNA". It matches the Rfam family "Bacterial small subunit ribosomal RNA", at positions 28 to 507 of the family's 1533-position model. The record is from RNAcentral.